Molecule: unclassified non-coding RNA, 394 nt
Filed under: soil metagenome
Description: partial contains 5.8S ribosomal RNA, internal transcribed spacer 2, and large subunit ribosomal RNA
Rfam family: 5.8S ribosomal RNA (bases 1-120)
Source: RNAcentral
GAUGAAGAACGUAGCGAAAUGCGAUAAGUAAUGUGAAUUGCAGAAUUCAGUGAAUCAUCAAAUCUUUGAACGCAUCUUGCGCUCCUUGGUAUUCCGAGGAGCAUGCCUGUUUGAGUGUCAUUCAACUUGUCGACCACUUUGGAAGUUGUUUUUCAAUGUGGCUUGGAUGUGGGGGAUUUGCAGGCUUUUCUUCUGUCUGCUCUCCUGAAAUGCAUUAGUGGUGUCUUAAAGGGUUCACAACCACAGGUGUGAUAAAUUAUCUAUGCCUUUGGUAUGAACAGAACUGUGCUGCUUCUAAAUGAAAUGAGCCCUUGCAGGCUCUUUCUUUUGAUGAAUUUGACCUCAAAUCAGGUAGGACUACCCGCUGAACUUAAGCAUAUCAAUAAGCGGAGGA